RNAcentral lists this ribosomal RNA (558 nucleotides) under Alternaria alternata. RNAcentral's name for it is "eukaryotic LSU rRNA". The stretch from base 181 to 334 matches the Rfam family "5.8S ribosomal RNA". The record is from RNAcentral. Lineage: Eukaryota; Fungi; Ascomycota; Dothideomycetes; Pleosporales; Pleosporaceae.
GCGGAGGGAUCAUUACACAAAUAUGAAGGCGGGCUGGAACCUCUCGGGGUUACAGCCUUGCUGAAUUAUUCACCCUUGUCUUUUGCGUACUUCUUGUUUCCUUGGUGGGUUCGCCCACCACUAGGACAAACAUAAACCUUUUGUAAUUGCAAUCAGCGUCAGUAACAAAUUAAUAAUUACAACUUUCAACAACGGAUCUCUUGGUUCUGGCAUCGAUGAAGAACGCAGCGAAAUGCGAUAAGUAGUGUGAAUUGCAGAAUUCAGUGAAUCAUCGAAUCUUUGAACGCACAUUGCGCCCUUUGGUAUUCCAAAGGGCAUGCCUGUUCGAGCGUCAUUUGUACCCUCAAGCUUUGCUUGGUGUUGGGCGUCUUGUCUCUAGCUUUGCUGGAGACUCGCCUUAAAGUAAUUGGCAGCCGGCCUACUGGUUUCGGAGCGCAGCACAAGUCGCACUCUCUAUCAGCAAAGGUCUAGCAUCCAUUAAGCCUUUUUUUCAACUUUUGACCUCGGAUCAGGUAGGGAUACCCGCUGAACUUAAGCAUAUCAAUAAGCGGAGGAAAU